UGGCGGACGGGUGAGUAAUGUCCGGGAAACUGCCCGAUGGAGGGGGAUAACUACUGGAAACGGUAGCUAAUACCGCAUAACGUCGCAAGACCAAAGAGGGGGACCUUAGGGCCUCUUGCCAUCGGAUGUGCCCAGAUGGGAUUAGCUAGUAGGUGGGGUAACGGCUCACCUAGGCGACGAUCCCUAGCUGGUCUGAGAGGAUGACCAGCCACACUGGAACUGAGACACGGUCCAG
This 235-nucleotide ribosomal RNA is filed under the name uncultured bacterium. Its description in RNAcentral is "partial 16S ribosomal RNA". It matches the Rfam family "Bacterial small subunit ribosomal RNA", at positions 96 to 334 of the family's 1533-position model. The record is from RNAcentral.